AGGAUCAUUAAAGAAUCGCCCCGUUUUUCGAAAUGGGUUCUAUUCCCAAACCGUGUAUACAUACCUUUGUUGCUUUGGCAGGCCGCCUUCUAGGCGUCGGCUUCGGCUGACUGCGCCUGCCAGAGGACCCAAACUCGUUUGUUUAGUGAUGUCUGAGUACUAUAUAAUAGUUAAAACUUUCAACAACGGAUCUCUUGGUUCUGGCAUCGAUGAAGAACGCAGCGAAAUGCGAUAAGUAAUGUGAAUUGCAGAAUUCAGUGAAUCAUCGAAUCUUUGAACGCACAUUGCGCCCCUUGGUAUUCCGAGGGGCAUGCCUGUUCGAGCGUCAUUAUAACCACUCAAGCCUCGGCUUGGUCUUGGGGUUCCGCGGUCUCUCGCGGCCCUUAAAAUCAGUGGCGGUGCCAUCUGGCUCUAAGCGUAGUAAUUUUCUCGCUAUAGGGUCCCGGUGGUCUCCUGCCAGAACCCCCCAUUUUUUUUACGGUUGACCUCGGAUCAGGUAGGGAUACCCGCUGAACUUAAGCAUAUCAAUAAGCGGAGGAAAAGAAACCAACAGGGAUUGCCUCAGUAACGGCGAGUGAAGCGGCAACAGCUCAAAUUUGAAAUCUGGCUCUUUCAGGGUCCGAGUUGUAAUUUGUAGAAGAUGCUUUGAGUGUGGCUCCGGUCUAAGUUCCUUGGAACAGGACGUCAUAGA
RNAcentral lists this ribosomal RNA (691 nucleotides) under uncultured Meliniomyces. RNAcentral's name for it is "eukaryotic LSU rRNA". The stretch from base 483 to 691 matches the Rfam family "Eukaryotic large subunit ribosomal RNA", at positions 1 to 209 of the family's 3401-position model. Lineage: Eukaryota; Fungi; Ascomycota; Leotiomycetes; Helotiales; Helotiaceae. The record is from RNAcentral.